AUUGAACGCUGGCGGCAGGCCUAACACAUGCAAGUCGAGCGGAUGAAGGGAGCUUGCUCCUGGAUUCAGCGGCGGACGGGUGAGUAAUGCCUAGGAAUCUGCCUGGUAGUGGGGGAUAACGUCCGGAAACGGGCGCUAAUACCGCAUACGUCCUGAGGGAGAAAGUGGGGGAUCUUCGGACCUCACGCUAUCAGAUGAGCCUAGGUCGGAUUAGCUAGUUGGUGGGGUAAAGGCCUACCAAGGCGACGAUCCGUAACUGGUCUGAGAGGAUGAUCAGUCACACUGGAACUGAGACGCGGUCCAGACUCCUACGGGAGGCAGCAGUGGGGAAUAUUGGACAAUGGGCGAAAGCCUGAUCCAGCCAUGCCGCGUGUGUGAAGAAGGUCUUCGGAUUGUAAAGCACUUUAAGUUGGGAGGAAGGGCAGUAAGUUAAUACCUUGCUGUUUUGACGUUACCAAAAGAAUAAGCACCGGCUAACUUCGUG
RNAcentral lists this ribosomal RNA (484 nucleotides) under uncultured bacterium. Its description in RNAcentral is "partial 16S ribosomal RNA". It matches the Rfam family "Bacterial small subunit ribosomal RNA", at positions 30 to 507 of the family's 1533-position model. The record is from RNAcentral.